Molecule: long non-coding RNA, 5969 nt
Filed under: Heterocephalus glaber (naked mole-rat)
Lineage: Eukaryota; Metazoa; Chordata; Mammalia; Rodentia; Bathyergidae
Description: lncRNA (ENSHGLG00100034073.1)
Source: RNAcentral
CUAAGAGUUGAGUAUAAUUGCUGAAAUUAUUAUAAUAGUAAUUUUUAUUUACUGUACUCAGUUUCCAGAAUAGGAUCUUGACUUAUGGAUAGAGAAUUCUAUCCAUGGUACAAUGAGGUGACAAUGGAAAAAGAAAGAAUGAGCAUUUUGAGGCAGCAGACCCAGAAACUUGGUAAAAAGAAGGCCUGGCUUACAUGAAGGGAAACCAAGAAACGUAUAUGUGAAUAUGUACGUGCAGCAUAUCUACUUAAGUACAGCUCUAACUUUGGUGCUCCACAGCAGUUCACAGGUACUCAAAUGUUUGGCUAAAAAGUGCUUUGCAUGUGACAAUUGUGAGUUGUGUGUUAAAUCAAGCUCCAAGAAAAGAGUACUUGCUCUGUGGUGCUUUCAAUUCCCAAAGAGUAUAUUUAGAUGGCACAGCUGGUGAACUGGUAAAGGCACCUCAGGAAGGCAGUUGUUUGGCUGCUGUGAUGGGACCAGUAGUAUUUAAAUUUUUACAUAUUCCUCCCAUUUAAUUUCCACAUUUCCCUACUUUCAAAACUUCUCUUUGUUUUGCUCAUCCUGUUUAUACUUCUGUUAAUUCCUUUGCAGACCUCAGAUUUUAGGCCCUCCUUCUGGGCUAAAACUCUUCUUCCUCAAAGCCCAUUUUAAAUUUCCUUAAAGGAGGUAAGAUAGGAAAAACAUCUAGGACAUUAAAUAUAUAUUAAAGUUUUAAUACACUGGCUGAAAUGAAUUUUAUCUUGAUUCCCAGAUUCCCUGUUCCCUGAAUUCUUAGCAUGUGGUGGCAUUUCCCAGGGACUGUUUUUAAAGUUGUUCAUUGUUAUGAACAUUUCACCUAUAUUUUAUUUCCUAAUUAUACUAUUAUACAAUCUUAAAGCUCAAUUCUUUAUAUUCCAUGCUUGCUUGCUUUUUUAAAAAAAAAUACAAUGUAGUGUAUAGCAGAGUUAUACAUAGAAUAUUUUGUUAAUUUUUGCAUGAACAAAUAAUCUUUCCUAUAAAAGUAUUUUACCUAAUGUAUAUAAUUAUCCCUCAAUAUUUUGUCUUUCAGUUUUAUAUAAGGUUCAUGUAAUUCAGUUCACUGACUCCAACAUACUGAAAUUAUAAUGUAGUUUUUGUUACGUUGUUGCUUAAAGUAGGAGAGCAGAUCAGAUUUAGCUAUUUUAUUGUGCAGUUUUGGAAACAAGACUGUCAGAUGACUUUAACUUACUGAAGACUAUGAAGGAAAGCAAUAGUUACAGGCAAGGCAAAAGCCACAUAAAUCUUUAGCAGGGCUGACUUCUACCCUAAAAUGUGUUGCCUGACUUUCCUUCCCUUGACUGUAGAAAUUGGGUUUGUCUAGAUUUUCUACAAUACAAGUUUGAGGCAUAGGAAUAAUUUCAUUACUUCUGAAUCUAAGUCACUUUCACACUUAAUUCUUCAUAAAAGUGUUUUCCGGGGUAUGACAAGAAUUAAAAUUUCUUAUGUUUGGACUCUUACAGUAAAGAGGUGGAAAAUAGAAUUAACUGCAACGAAAUGGUGUGUUAUGCAUCACUUUAGAAAUUAUUCUCUUUUUUUCUUUUAUUGAGCUACAGUUUUUCCUCAUGACUGACCUUCAGAUGAUUCUGAAUAUUACUUUCUGUCACAGAGCUUAGUAGACCAGUGUCUGGCCUUCCUAGGUUAUGAAACUACAAAUUGACAUUCCUAAGGCUUAUGGAUGAGGUCAUGAAGGUCUUUUAAUGGAGACUUACAAAUUGAAUAGUCAAAAUUUGCUAUCUGAAAGUUAGCAUCCACCUAUAAUCAAAGUCCAUUUGUGCUCUGGCCUUGAUAAUUUUAGUGAUGGCUUAUUAUGAGCUGAUUUUAGCAGGUAUCUGUAUUCCAUAAAAGGCAAUACUAUUAGAAAAUUGAGCAACAUAAGAAAUAUAUAGUCAUCAACUUUUCAUGAAGUUCCUUGAAAUAUAUCAAGUCAGCUGUUCAAGAAAUGUUAUAUUUUAAUGGCAUACUGAGAGACUGUGUCAACUAUUACAACACCACUAUCAUGUUCUUGCACAAAAUGACAAUGAACAGAAAGUAUAUCAGAUGGUACUUUCUCUUUAUAGUUAGAAAUCGAUUUUAAGAGACAAUGGAGCAAGUGGUUAUAAGUAUAAAAUUUAGAGGAGGGUAAGUGGGAAUAUUUCAAAUGAUUAUUUUUCUGACCCAGGAUAUUAUUUGAUCACAAAAUGGGGUAGAAUAUAGAUUCACCAAAGGAACAAUCAGUUAUCGACUAAAUCAGGUGAAAUAGCAUAAAGACACAAUUAUAGGCAUGAACAUUGCAUGCCAGGGGUCAGAGAGACAUUCAGACACUCAGAGGCAGAGGAGAACACAUGUCGUGCGAUUGGGGGGGUGAGGAUAAAGACAUAGAUUUAUGAAAGACUUCUCAGAACUGUAUAGUGAGCCCCAUGAAGAAUAAAUAUUGUUUAUGUUUCUAAGCAAUGGAAUUAGAAAAUGACAUCAUUCUUCUGCAAAGAUUAAUCAUAUCUGUGUCCUAAAAUGAUUGAAAGGGGAUAGAGGUGAGAAUUGGAAUUAAUAUUCACAGAUUUCAACUGAACUAAUGCUGAGAAAGAAAAGAGGAUGGAGAGGAAAGUAUAAAUAUGAGACAUUUUGAAAGAAGGCGCAGUCGAGCCUUACCAUAUAGCUAAAGAAAAUGGAAGUGAAAACACAGUCAGCAAUAUGCCAGCCUUACAAAUGGCUAAAUAUCUCUAAUGAGUAAUAAAAUGCUCACCAUGUUUUCUUAGCUCUGCCACCUUGAUGUUCAAUGAAUUUAUUCAUUGAAAGGCAAUGUGUCACUGCCAAGCUAGUGUGUAGGAGGCCACCAGGUAACAGGGAAGUGAUCUUUCCUGACACUGCUCUCACACACAGGAGCAUACACCUAUUACACACACAGGGUCCCCUGGGUGGCUGCAAAACAGGGAUUGAUGUGUUUUCAUUAUGUUGGGAAGAAUUUCAGUUUCCCAAAACUUAUUCUGUUAUUCAUUUACAAAAUCCCUUCUUUCAGUUUCAUGUCAUAUUUCAUCUCUCCUAACAGCUGCCAUUCUCCAAUCUUCUAUUAGACUCAGAAAAGUCUGAAGCAUUGAUACCUAAAUCAUUGGUUCCUCUGUAUGCCAUGAUCAGACAAAAGGAACUAGGGUCUGCCUCCGAAAUCUGAAAUCUAGUGUUUUGUAAGACCACAAUCUCUAAUUCUCUUCAUCUCCCUUACACCUGUGGUCCUCUUUGAUAAUGUCUCAGUAACCACCAGCCAUUUCUUCCUUCAAUAAAAGCACUUCAUAAACAACUGAUGCCCUUCAUUUUCUUGCAAAUCUCCUCUCAUGUCAACAAAGCCAGGCUACAAUCCUGAAUAUAUGCCACAAUCUACCACCUCCCUUUACCUAUUUGGGAUAUACUCUGAGAACAGCCAUGAUUGUUAACCUUAGUUCCUCAAAUCUACUUUCAGUAUGUCCACUCGAUGUCUGAAAACUAAUGUCAGUCUGCCACUUCCUUAAAUAUCUAUUAAUGAUUGCUGUGACUCCUGUGUAUAUUCGUGUUUCUUUUCACUGAAACAUGAAGGGUUAAAUCUAAUCCCUUACUUAACUAGAAAGCAGCUCUUACACUCCACCUUCUUCCAAUUUCCUCUAACAUUUUUUACUUCUCUUUUCUUCACCAGUGCCCCUCUGCUCUACCCUUGUGCAAUAUGCAAUUCUUCUUGAAUAACAGUGUCUAGAAGUUUUCCAGAUUGAGUAUUGUAAUCUGAGAAUUACAGAAAGAUUUAGAACUUGAAAACUUUGCUCCCUUGUUUAAGAAAGAAAGCAUAUGUAAAAACUCAAAACCAACCAAACAGAAAAUAAGUAAGGCUGUACUCAUUAAAAACACUUUCCUGGAAAGAGGACAGCAGAGUACUACCCUGGAAAAGCAAGGUAAUAAGUAUAUCUUACAUAUUCCAGUAUUUCCUCAUUUGCUUAAUACAAAUGAAUUCCAUUGUCACCAAAAAUGUUUAAAUUAUUAAAUCACAUUUUUAUGUAAGACAAGCUAUCCUAAAAAAGGAACCCAAAGGACAUAGAAAGUUCCAAAUAUAGAAUGUUCAUUAUCAUGCAAAAGUCAGUGUCUUUUGCCACCUAGCAUUUGCUUUGCCCCUCAUCCUCAUGAUACCCAGCCCAGUUUUCACAAGUGUUCAUUCUUUCAAAGUCCUCUCUCCCUCUGUGACCUCCAGGGUGAGCGUGAUUGUCUUAAGGAAUUCCCAUUCCAUUUAGCUCAGUUCAAUGCCCCAAACCUGAGCCAGUCAGUGAGUAGCAUUCUAUGGGCCCCAGAACUCAAGUACCAGGAUAACUGUAAUUCAUAAAAAUGAAAUUCCAGGCCGCGAGUCGCGCGGAACACACCAAAUCAGCCCGCUGCAGACAGGCAGGUCUGCGGACACCCUACCGAGGUCUCAAGUCGUGUGGAACAUGCCGAAUGAGCCCAUGCCCCGGCAACAAUCCACUGGACACCACCACCACCACCACCACCCCCAAACAGCUCCUCUGGUCUAUCCUUCUUCCCAUCUGUCCCUCCCUCCCCAACUCUUUCUAACUCCCUAUCCCAGAGGGUAAAGUUGUUAUAUUGAAGAGUUUUUUCACUAUAUGUUGGGUUGGUCCUCAAUCUUGAUUUAAUUCACACAGCUAAAGGUGAUAGAUUAAAAACUACCACAAAAUGUCAUUUUUGAAGAUGUACUUGAUGCAGUGGUGUUGCUGAUUGUAUCACUUGGCCUAAGGUGUUGUGAUUGAUCUAGUCAAUGAACCUUCCUAGUAUAAGGAAAAUGAGAUAGCCUUAGAGUCAUUAGAGACUCAAAACUUAAAGACCAGCUAUAUCUGGAAGACACCUCUGAGAAGCAAUCAGUCCAUAAGGGUUCUAAUUAUGAGCAACAAAGAUACCUACAAUAAGCAAUUUCAAACUAUCAACCCAGGAGUUAAACCAAGGACAGUGCCAAAAACAAAAAUGAGAAGACAUUUAAGCAAGGCACAAACUCAGACUUCCACCCCACCAAGGAUAAAUCCUGGGGGAAAUGAGAUGGAAAUGUCCCAUAACCAACCACCUGGACACCCUGAACUAAUAGCACAGGAAGUAACAAAACAGAUGAAUGAGGCUCUAGAAAAAUUCCAAGCAGAAAUAAUCUCCCAGAUAUCUACAGAGAUGGUGAGCAGAGUGAAAGACAUGAUUAGAGGAUCUAGAACAGAAACAGAUAAAAAAAUAGAUGAGCUCAGAAACAUGCUGGAAGCCAUGAAUGCCCAGCAUAAGAAAGAAAUGGAAACUAUGAUCGCCCAACAUAAGAAAGAAAUGGAAUCCAUGAAACAGAUUCAAACAGAUAUUCAGGAGAUCAAAAACUCCAUUGAAAGUAUCCACAGCAGAUUAAGGGAAUCUGAAGAUAGAAUAUCAGAUAUAGAAGACAGGAUUGUGGUUAGAGACCAUGAAAAUAGAGAUUUCUUAAAAAUAGUAAGGGACCACGAGAAAUCAAUCCAACAACUGCUAGACGAUGCAAAGAAGAAUAACAUAAGACUGAUAGGAGGAGUCCAUGAAAAAACAGGAGAAAGCACAAUUGACAUUAAAAAAAACCUGUUCACAGAGUAAUAGUGGAAAACUUCCCAGACAGAGGUAGAGAAUUGGACAUACAGAUAAGUGAAGCAUAUAGAACUCCAACUAGCCAUGAUCAAAAAAAAUCUACAUCUAGACAUAUAAUAGUCAAGAUCCCAGAAACCCAACAGAAAAACAAAAUCCUACAGGGAGUUAGAGAAAAGAAACAAAUCACCUAUAAAGGAAAGCCCAUCAGAAUCAUGGCAGACUUCUCAACACAAACCCUCAAAUCAAAGAGAGCCUGGAAUGAAGUAUUUCAAGCCUUAAAAGAAAAUAACUUCCAACCUAGACUGUUGUAUCCUGCAAAAUUAUCUUUCAAAAUUGAUGGGGAAAUUAGAUACUUCCAUGACAAAGAACACCUGAGAAAUUUCAUGAAC